UUCCAUUUACUAAUUCAACUAUUACAAUCACCCCAAUAUUUUGUUCACCUACCAAUAAUUCAUUCCAUGUAGGUGACUCUAAAAAAAAAAAGUCAUAUUUAUAAUACCCUUUACGACUCUGAUACCCAAUAUUCUAUUCUAUUUAGGUGACUCAAUACAAAGAAAGUGGGAAUGUUUUCUUAGGUUAACCGAAGAAAACCCUAAAUAACUUAAGUGCUUUUGGAUUAAUUGAGUAUCAUCUUGUAGUACAUGUCAAUCUCUAUUGUUAGACUUCACCAAAAAGCUCCUAGCACGGUGGAAAAAAGUAUCAAAUAUAGUCAAGUCUUCAAUAAAAUACUAUUUCAUGCGAAAAAUUACUACAAACUAGUGUAUCUCUCAUUCUCAAUUAGACAAAAUUUUUAAAAAUAAUUCAUUUUUCUUGUUUUCAUUUGUUUUGGGGCUUAUUAGCAAUGAAACAAAAAAUAUGUUAGAAUGUUAAACCUAGUUUUUACUUCCUUAGAACUCGAUAAAAAACACCAUUUACAAAACCCACAUCAUAGAUAUACUAAAUCAAGAGAUAUAAAACAAUUAUACUAACAAAGUUUUUUGCAUUAAUAAAAAAAAUGAAGAUGAUAGAUAAGAGAUUUUGACUUACCCGAGAUUUUACGAAGCAAAGAAUAUCAAUUAUGGGUGUGCCGACCAUGGGUGUGAGAAGAAAGGAGAAGAAAACGAUGGUUAGGGUUAAGCAACAAGAUCUUUUAUAUUAGUUAAUGUAUAUAUGGAAACAAUGGACUUUUCAUA
RNAcentral lists this long non-coding RNA (780 nucleotides) under Vitis vinifera (wine grape). Its description in RNAcentral is "long non-coding RNA (VVIN_LNC006270)". Lineage: Eukaryota; Viridiplantae; Streptophyta; Magnoliopsida; Vitales; Vitaceae. The record is from RNAcentral.